CUGUUUUCUCCAACUAUAGCCUAUCAACUUCUAAAAGUCAUUGUAACUUGAAAUCAAUGUUUAGUAUAAGUGGGAGAUGAUGGAAUACUCUGUUGCAUCAUUAAAGUCAUUGUAACUUGAAAUCAAUGUUUAGUUUUGCACUUCAUAAACUAUAGCCUAUCAACUUCAACCACCAAUCGGAAUGCAAACCUAAGGGUAGGACGAAAUCAGAAUCUAUUGCCUUCAACCGAAAUCCCCAAUUCCAAAAAUCCCCUUCCCUAUGACGAACGGGGAAAGUAGAAGCACAAAACAGGAGACUAACCUGAAUGUAGCUC
RNAcentral lists this long non-coding RNA (314 nucleotides) under Setaria viridis. RNAcentral's name for it is "long non-coding RNA (SVIR_LNC007141)". The record is from RNAcentral. Lineage: Eukaryota; Viridiplantae; Streptophyta; Magnoliopsida; Poales; Poaceae.